GCGUCUGAAGUAGCCUUGACUCGGAGGCGACGCUCUAGCAGGCGGCCCAUCUGCCUCUGUGUUGAUGGAGAUGAUUUUCCUGCACAAAGUUGCUCUCAUCAUCAAAGAAGCAGCAAGAAAAUCCUGUGAACUUUGAAAAUCCUGCCAGCCUCCUGCUACUUCUUGCCGCGAGGGAAGAAGUGCGAGUGUGGAGAGAUGCACAAAGAUUCCUGCCCACUCACCGCAGAUGGGAUUUUAUUUGAUUUCAUUCGAUGCAAGAUAAAAGACACUGAGACCCAAACAGUGAAGUGGAGGAACUCAGGGUCUGAAGAGAGGCAGUGACAAGAGAUGCUCCUGUAACUUAGGUGACCUAUCUCCUGGUUAGCCCUGCGACUGAAGAAUGGCCCAGGACCAGCGGCAUCGAUGAAACCCGUGUCAAUGCUGGGAACCAUGAUGAGGUUAAUGUGUGCUUGGCCAGAGGACUCCCAAAUCCUGACCUUCUCAGCCAUCCCUCUCUACACGGUCCUGUUGACUGACAAAGCAAAACUUCAGUGCUGACUAGGUCCCUGAUCCCUAAACCCAGUGCAAUCUCUGGCAGGGCAAUGCUCAGGAAGCUGCCUAUAAAGAAAGCCAAGACAAACUGAACUCUGUCUAAAACGAGGGAAGUGGAGAAGGAAGACAAAAAAAAAAGAGGAGGACAAGGUGUUUUAACUUUCUGGAUUGGUACUUUAUUUUACACGUAUGGUUUUAUGUAUUUUUUGUAACAUCCCAAAGAGCACAGCAAUGAAGGACAGAAGCCCUGAUAUCUGAUUCCUUGGGUGUGAAGGUUGGUUCUUCAAUCUCUAUGCUGUCUGAUUUUGGUCAAAUUACUCUAACAUCUUUCUUCCCUACUUCUCUCUUCUAUAAAAUGGGUAUCUUAAUUGCACCUAGCUCAUGGUGGGUGGUGAAUUUUCAUCAGCUUACUUCAUAUAUAAAGCACAGAGGAUGAUGGCUAGAAUAUACCAAGCACUCAAGGAGACAGUAUCAAUGUCAUAGAUAUACUAAUCUAUUCCUUUGUGAUUUCUCACAUGGCUUUUAUGCUCACAAGUCUACAUCCACAGAAAAACUAAAAUGUAUUCCCUUAUACAUUGUUUUAUUUUCCUCAUUAUUUAAUUACUUAUUCACUUUUUAUGUUUAACUCUUUAAUUCACAAAAAUUUAUUUCAGUAUAUGGUAAGAGGUAUGCUAACUUGAUUUCUCCCUAAAGUAUUAAGUGUUCCCCCUUGUCAAUUAAUCCACCUUAUCUCAUUGGUUUGUAUAGUCCCUUUAUCAUUUACCAAGUUUUUACAUACACUUGGAUCUACUUUUAGAUUAACCAUUCUAUCCUGCUGUUCGGCCCUUUGAUUUCUAUCCUAGCGCCAUACUGCAAAAAUGAGUAUAGUUUUACUGUUUACUAGGUCAUUUCUGAUCUCAUCAUUUCUGUUUUCAGCUAUGAAGUAGUCCAGGUGAUUAUAUAAACCAUUUUAAUGUUAAAAAUAUAAUUGGGGUUUUGAGUAGGAUUAUACCCUUUCUAAAUUGAUUUAGGGGGAUCAGACACUUUUGAACUAUUUUGUUUCUUCAUUUACAAAAUCUUUUAUAUCUCUCUAAAGAUUUUAGUUUUUUCACAAAGCUUUCCACGUAUUUCUUAAUAUGAUUAGCAGAUAACAUUUUGUUACUAGCUGUGAAAAGAAUUUUUUCCCCUGGUACAAUGAGAUGCAGGAGGGAACAUGUUAUGGUCACCUUCCUCACCUUAACCUGAGUUUUUUCUUUCACAGAAUCUCUGUGUAUACUUUUUUGUAAUAUAUUUAUCUGAAUCAGGAACUACUUGCCAAACAUCAUUUAAACGUGCAAUAAGAAUAUUGUUUCUAAAAGUCAUGUUUCCUAUUAAUUCAACACAUUUUCAUGGUGUCUCAACUAUACCCAUUCUUCCUUGCAGACAGAAAUGGUCUCUGUUGGAGAGCUGACAUUAGAGAACUGAUUUCAUCACAGCUUGAUAAGUAUUACGGCGAAUGGCUGGGGUCAAUAUGAGGGUUUACUCUGGGGUCUGAAAUCCUAUGAACACAGCAGGUGAUCUCUAGGAAGUGACUCUGAGCUGAGUUCUGAGAGAUGAACAAAAAUUAACUAGGCAACCUUUGGAUGCUUCGGACAAAGAAGUGGGCCAAAGUGCAGGAUGUUCAAGGAAUUAAGAUAGGACUUCUGUGGCUGUAACACAGAAAUGGGGAGAGAGGUGGGAAGUAAACUGAGAUAAGUCACUGAGAUAUACUACACACACACGUAUAUAAUGGUAAUACCAUAGCUAUAUCUAUAUCUACUCUCUCAGAAAUCAGGAUUGCUCCCAUGGUUAUAGCGCCACAGUCCUUGAGAAAACAGCUCUGUGACACUUAAUGUUCUUUAGCCUGGAGGGAGGAGAAUUUAGCUCUUCUCCCAGAUUUCCCAGCAGAGUUUGUUAUCCUAAUCAAAGCUAGGCCAGGCUGGUAUCUGCUGUGAGAUGGAAAGGUAUCCAAGGCAUUAGUGACUUAUGGUCCUGUUUGCAGUUCUCUUGUUAGUGCUUUUAUGAGCAAACCUCAGCCUAUUUUGUAAAAGUAGGUUUUUUGUGGAGCAAUCAUACAGCCCCUUCUGUGAAACUUCAAACUGGUAAAUGCCAAACAGGUUUAUGGAAGGUUGAGUCAUGUGACACCCAAACAGCCUCUGACGGGCAGAAUCACCCAGGUUAAGAAUCACUCAGUUGCAGAGGCCAUAAAAGUACUGUUCUUCUCAUUUAAAACUGUUAUACUCAUUUUUGCUUUGCCAUGAAUUCUCUUAGACACUGUAACAUUUAACAAAUGAGAUUCAGAUUUAUCACAAAGCACUGUCAUGUAUAUCUUUUAGUCACUUAUUUCAGCCAAGAUUUAUUAAACAUCUGUUUUGUGUAGGCACUACAUUGGUUGCUAGAGCCACAAGGUCAAAUGAGAUAACCUUGCAAGGAGCCUAGUCUUCAGGGAAGACAAAAAUAAGUGAGUAGUACAUCAUAGGCGCCUGAUAGAAAUGUGGCAGAAGUCUACUGAGGCUUGAGAAGAAAGGUCAGAAACCCAGGUGAGGGGUGGAGCUGUCUGGGAAUGAUAAGACUCAGAAGUGGAACCUGACACAUGGUGUUUUUCAGACUGAUGGAUUUGGGAGAUGGUUGGAGAGCUAUAAGACUUGCAACAAUAUUCUGAGACAUUUAUUAUGAUCCUCUCUGUUUUAACCAUGAGAAUACUGCAAAGUUAAACAUUUAGCUUAAGGUCACUUAGCUAGGUCGCAACAUUAACCUACGAAUUUAACUAUUCCCUGGAUUAACAGUGUUUGCCUUUUCCAACUGGAUACAAUGGAAUAAGAGAGAUUCUGGGAAUAUUCUUGACAAACAGUCCUCUUAAAACAAAACAAAAUUGUAAGGACAAAAAUAAUACUCUCUUAUAUUAAUAUAUAUUUCACAAGGCACAUUCACAGACAUUAUCUCUUAUGAUCCUUCCACCAAUCCUGCCAGUUCCACGGUAGACAUGCAUAUCAACUUUGCUUUAUAGGGAGGAAGGACACUCAGGGGGUUUAGGUACAGAACUCACAAAGCACGCUGCCUUUCUCAGCACGAACACACAGGUCCCAUGGGGCAAUGGACUGCUUCGUUGUAUUUUAGCUUGUCAUUAUAUUUUAGCACCAGGAUACUGCCAUCAUUUUGCUAUCCUUGAUAGCAGUUCAAUUUCUGCACUUACAGCUGAAAUUACAGUGUCUCAAAGCUAAAUUUAAAAGAGCAAUUUACUGCUGUCCCUAUGAAGAAAGAGAACCAAUCAAUGUAAUAAAAAAAAAUUAAGAUCAUUCUGUACUUUGUAUAGUUGCUGUUGCAGAGGGAACAGUGAACUGCCUGUCAUUAUGGAAUAUUUAGAAAGCACAACAGUGCUUGGCCUGAAGUAGGUGCUCAAGAAAUGCAUGUUAGGAGGACAGACAGCUGGAAAAGUGAACGGAUGGAUGAGAAGGCAGAUGGAAGGAUGGCUGCUUCCAGGAAUGAGAUGGUGACCUGCUCUCAACACCAUGACCUAUAUCGUCUACCUCCAUUUUCUGUUAGGAACAAGCUCUUUGUCACUGGCUUCCAUGGGGUCUCUAAUCCCAGUUCUUGUCUAAAAGAAGAAUAAGAACAGGUGAAAAAAAUAUUGCAAUUGUGGGGGAACAAAAUUGUCACCACAAAAUAUCUCUUUGGCAUGUGGAUCAUGUCAAGCCGAAAACAAGCCCCAAAAGACUCAGAAAGAAACCUGGACCUUCUCCCAAACGCCUAAAGAGUGUGGAUGGAGGACCUGUUCCAGGAGCCAGCACCAUAGACAAUUUCUUCCUCCCCUUUCUACUAUAUCUGGUUAGUCACCAAGUCCUGUCGCACCUCCCACUUGGGGGGGUAUUUCAAAAUUAGCUCUUAAUUUCCAUUUCCAUCUUAUUCGUUCUUCGGCUCAGAUCCCAUCACCUCAUUUGUAGGCUGUUACCCUAAUAUACCAACUAGUCUAUCUUCACAUUUUUUUCUGUUUUUUUCUUGGGCGCCCUGUUCCAACUAAUAUUUAAAUACUUCCUUUUUUUGUUUCUUUUGCCUUCAGUGACUGCACAUGAUAAAGUUCAAUUUUCUUAUUCUAUCAUCCUGAGCCUCCCACACUGAGGCUCUUCCUAUUUUAUCUCUGCAAGGACCUACUCAAACCUGAGUAGUCUCUUCAUUGUACCCCAAACACGUUUUACACAUCACCUCCCAUGGUUCAUUCUUGUCCAAUGUUUACUGAGAAUCUUCUGCAUAAGCUAUGUAUUAGAUCAUAAGUAUUGAGAAAAGGACAAAAUAUUAAAAGACAAACUGAGCUCAAGGAGCUCAGCUUGCUGGGGAAGAAAAUAAAAUAAAUAAAGUAAGCUAUUUUAUUAGAGAGUGAAGAUACUGCAUUAGGAUAAGAACAAGAGGACCUCAGGGGAGGGAUAACCCUAGACUAAAUCUCACAUGUCCUUCUUUGAGUCACUUCCGUAUCUGGAGUUCAAUACUUUCAUGUUAUAAUUCUACAUCUACCAUAGUUUGCAAUCAUUUACCCUGACGUCAGAGAUAGACUCACACUUACCUCUGGUCCUAAAAACCCAGUUCAGUGACAGACCACCACACAUCAGCACACACAUCAGUGAGCAGUCCUAGGUUACUCACUCUGAGAGAGGUGCCAUGCUGAACAAUUUAUUCACACUUUCCCAAGUGACUUCCACAAUGCGGUAGGUAUAAUUCAUGUAUUACAGUGCCUCUGUUUUACACAGUGAUAGCAAAUAACUCACCCAACAACUAUUCAGUGGAGGAGCCAGGAUUAGAACCCCCAACAGUAUGAUGCCAAAGCCCAUGCUCUUAAUUGCUUCCAAAUAUUAACAUAUAAAUGAUGUACUAAUGAAUGAAUACAUGUUCCUCUCUCUCUGUAGAAGGUUUUUCUCCCUCUAGGACUUCACAAAGCCUGAGAACAGGUCAACCACAUGCAAACAUUAUUUUUCUUUCCCUUUAAAAUGAGAGCUGUUGAAGUGGGAUUGAUAAAAGUGAAAUUAGUCAUCCCAGGGAAGCCACAAGCUCCAGGCACAUCCAAGGUGCUGGGACAGAUGAGAAGUGUGCUGAGCUCUGAAGGCUGAUGCUGAAAGUGCUGGGAAUGGAGCCUACACAGUUAUCUAGAGGUGAUCACUUUAUGUGUUCUGCAUUAUGUGACCAACAAAAUAAUGGAUCCAAGGUGACAACUGCAGCAGAGGCAGAUGGCUGCUUUCUGGAGGACUCCACGAGGGCUCUUUCCCUGGCCAGUCCAGCUGCCUUACUUUGUCCUCUCUACUGGGAGAUGUCUUCUCGUUCUUCUCCAGCUGCAAGCCCUUCAAGAGACUUUCAAGAAUUCAAGAGACAUUCAAGAAUUACAGGGGAGGAAGCUUGACUGUGCAGAGGGAAAAUGAGCUAUGCUGGGGUUGGCAGGAUUUGGUAGCUGUUCCUCCUUGGCCACUGUAACAGAGCAGGUUCAAAGUGAAGUACGACUCUUUUAAGUUUAAUGUCCUAAAGUCUUUCCCCUUGAGCUCAAGUACUUCUUCACCAAGUCACUUUCUAAAGGAGAGGAAUACUAUACGUCUGGAUCUGAUUUUUAAAACUCCAGAUUGCAGUCUGGAUCUCUGCAAGUUUCACAUUAAGGGACAAUAUUUUUGUGGCCCAUACAGGGACCAGAGGGGACCCCUAUUGGCUGUUAAGCAAACAGGUGUGGAACCCACAACUGAGUCCACUGAAUGCACUGCUUUUCUUGCCCACCCUGGAGUAUGAAGUUAUGUCUUUCUCCUGGAUCCAAGAUCACAUUCCUCUGCAUCUGAAGAUCUCCAGGCUUUAUUUGGGAUCUAUUUUAAGGUUUCAUCCUUUCUGUUUAAGGCCUUGUUCUGUAUGUUCUAUAGUUGUUUGACACUUUGGUCUGAUUUUGAGAAUAGACUGUUUUAAC
RNAcentral lists this long non-coding RNA (6454 nucleotides) under Sus scrofa (pig). Its description in RNAcentral is "lncRNA (ENSSSCG00000060726.1)". Lineage: Eukaryota; Metazoa; Chordata; Mammalia; Artiodactyla; Suidae. The record is from RNAcentral.